Molecule: ribosomal RNA, 709 nt
Filed under: uncultured bacterium
Lineage: Bacteria
Description: bacterial SSU rRNA
Rfam family: Bacterial small subunit ribosomal RNA
Source: RNAcentral
UCGAACGAGACUUUUUAUUUGAUGCUUGCAUCUUUUAAAAAGUUGAGUGGCGAACGGGUGAGUAACACGUGGGUAACCUGCCUUAAAGUGGGGGAUAACACUUGGAAACAGGUGCUAAUACCGCAUAACCAUCAAAACCACCUGGUUUUGAUGUUAAAGAUGGUUCUGCUAUCGCUUUAAGAUGGACCCGCGGCGUAUUAGCUAGUUGGUGAGGUAACGGCUUACCAAGGCAAUGAUACGUAGCCGAACUGAGAGGUUGAUCGGCCACAUUGGGACUGAGACACGGCCCAAACUCCUACGGGAGGCAGCAGUAGGGAAUCUUCCACAAUGGACGAAAGUCUGAUGGAGCAACGCCGCGUGAGUGAAGAAGGUUUUCGGAUCGUAAAACUCUGUUGUCAGAGAAGAACGUGUGUGAGAGUAACUGUUCACGCAGUGACGGUAUCUGACCAGAAAGUCACGGCUAACUACGUGCCAGCAGCCGCGGUAAUACGUAGGUGGCAAGCGUUGUCCGGAUUUAUUGGGCGUAAAGGGAACGCAGGCGGUCUUUUAAGUCUGAUGUGAAAGCCUUCGGCUUAACCGAAGUCGGGCAUUGGAAACUGGGAGACUUGAGUGCAGAAGAGGAGAGUGGAACUCCAUGUGUAGCGGUGAAAUGCGUAGAUAUAUGGAAGAACACCAGUGGCGAAAGCGGCUCUCUGGUCCGUAGCUGACG